CUAAGAGGGUUCGGCCAUAACAAGGAAAAAGAAAAAAAUUUUAGCCCUUCAAUCUUCAUUCCAAAAAUCUUGUUCUUCUUGGAUUCUUACUAAGUUCAAGAUUCUCUACGACGUGGUAUAAUUAGUUUAGCGAAAGGACGACGUUUGUGGCAAGAGAAAAUUUGAAGAAAAAGAUUCUGGAGCAAACGGGACUUGAGUUUGGGCCACCGUAAGGAGAGCUAAAGGUGCAGAGGUUCGUGAUUCGCCACUGUAGGCCACACUUUCUGCUACUACAGAGUGCUCCUUUUGAUUCGGAGCCCAUAUUUUGGUACAUAUCUUUAUCAUGUAUAUAUUUCUGUAUAUUUGAAUAUUUGGGGUACGGCGGGACCCUGUCCCGUCAUAUGUUUCCGUUUAGGUUUGUAGAGGUCUGUAGUCAUAUAUGUGGGUCGAGGGUCCUAUGUGUGUUCGCUUUGUUUACGAUUUGUGUCUUAAUGCGGUCCUGUCUGUUACGACGGCCAUGGUGGCCCAUAUAUUUGUAUAUGUGCUUAUAUUCGGCGAUGUGUAUUCCGCCGCCCCUUUUUGGCUUUGAUAUGAUAUCUUUGCACGCGCGACCGCUUAAGAUAAUAUUUGAUUUCAAAUCUGUUUAAAAUGAUUAAAAUGAAAUCUGAGUUAAAUUAGAAUAGGACAAGUUAGCAUGUAAGUCUGUUUGGGGUGUCCAAAUAGGGCACCAGUCGCGGCCCACGGAGCUGGGUCGUGACACUAUGCAUAGCGGAAGGUAGACUGGACUGCUUUAAGCGAUAACGAGCUGCCACCAAGACCAGUUAGGUCUGCCAUAGAUUAUGAUGCAGUUGAAACAAUAGAUGUUAAUUAGUUCAGUUUGGUUUUUAAGUGUAUUUUUGAUGCACAGUAGUGCUUUGAUUAGUAAUUGGUACAUUUUGAAACUUUUUGUUUUGUUAAGAAUACACCAAAGUGUGGUGUAUUCUUUGAAUGAACUAUUAUUAUGUAUAUUACAAUAGCA
This is a long non-coding RNA of Lycium barbarum (goji berry), 997 nucleotides long. RefSeq lists it as uncharacterized. The record is from RefSeq and is a predicted model, not a curated record. The transcript has 3 exons. NCBI's taxonomy places the organism in Eukaryota, Viridiplantae, Streptophyta, Magnoliopsida, Solanales, Solanaceae.